AGGACGAACGCUGGCGGCGUGCUUAACACAUGCAAGUCGAGCGGUAAGGCCUUUCGGGGUACACGAGCGGCGAACGGGUGAGUAACACGUGGGUGAUCUGCCCUGCACUCUGGGAUAAGCCUGGGAAACUGGGUCUAAUACCGGAUAUGACCUGCUCUCGCAUGGGGGGUGGGUGGAAAGAUUUAUCGGUGCAGGAUGGGCCCGCGGCCUAUCAGCUUGUUGGUGGGGUAAUGGCCUACCAAGGCGACGACGGGUAGCCGACCUGAGAGGGUGACCGGCCACACUGGGACUGAGACACGGCCCAGACUCCUACGGGAGGCAGCAGUGGGAAUAUUGCACAAUGGGCGAAAGCCUGAUGCAGCGACGCCGCGUGAGGAUGAAGGCCUUCGGGUUGUAACCUCUUUCAGCAGGACGAAGCGCAAGUGACGUACUGCAGAAGAAGCACCGGCUAAACUACGUAACCAGCAGCCGAC
RNAcentral lists this ribosomal RNA (473 nucleotides) under uncultured soil bacterium. Its description in RNAcentral is "bacterial SSU rRNA". It matches the Rfam family "Bacterial small subunit ribosomal RNA", at positions 26 to 518 of the family's 1533-position model. The record is from RNAcentral.